Molecule: ribosomal RNA, 405 nt
Filed under: uncultured bacterium
Lineage: Bacteria
Description: bacterial SSU rRNA
Rfam family: Bacterial small subunit ribosomal RNA
Source: RNAcentral
UGGGGAAUAUUGCGCAAUGGGGGAAACCCUGACGCAGCAACGCCGCGUGGAGGAAGAAGGUCUUCGGAUUGUAAACUCCUGUCUUCCGGGACGAAUAAUGACGGUACCGGAGGAGGAAGCCACGGCUAACUACGUGCCAGCAGCCGCGGUAAUACGUAGGUGGCGAGCGUUGUCCGGAAUUACUGGGCGUAAAGGGCGCGUAGGCGGUUUUUUAAGUCAGAUGUGAAAACCCGGGGCUUAACUCCGGGAGUGCAUUUGAAACUGAAGAGCUUGAGUGCAGGAGAGGUAAGUGGAAUUCCUAGUGUAGCGGUGAAAUGCGUAGAUAUUAGGAGGAACACCAGUGGCGAAGGCGACUUACUGGACUGUAACUGACGCUGAGGCGCGAAAGCGUGGGGAGCAAACAGG